GUCCACGCCCUAAACGAUGAAUACUCGGUGUCGGGUCGCAAGAUUCGGCGCCUAAGCAAACGCAUUAAGUAUUCCACCUGGGAAGUACGAUCGCAAGGUUGAAACUCAAAGGAAUUGACGGGGGCCCGCACAAGCAGUGGAGCAUGUGGUUUAAUUCGAUGCAACGCGAAGAACCUUACCUGGGCUUGAAAGGCAAGAUUUCAGUCCCUGAAAGGGGAUUACCCGCAAGGGGUCUUGUACAGGUGCUGCAUGGCUGUCGU
This 260-nucleotide ribosomal RNA is filed under the name uncultured bacterium. RNAcentral describes it as "partial 16S ribosomal RNA". It matches the Rfam family "Bacterial small subunit ribosomal RNA", at positions 793 to 1055 of the family's 1533-position model. The record is from RNAcentral.